GUGCUCCCUUUGGCAGCACACAUACUAAAACCAGAACGAUACAGAGAAGAUCAGCAUGGCCCCUGCACAAGGAUGACACACAAAUUCAUGAAGCGUUACAUGUUUUU
Jaculus jaculus (lesser Egyptian jerboa) is the source of this 107-nucleotide small nuclear RNA. The record is from RefSeq and is a predicted model, not a curated record. Lineage: Eukaryota; Metazoa; Chordata; Mammalia; Rodentia; Dipodidae.